RNAcentral lists this long non-coding RNA (192 nucleotides) under Mus musculus (house mouse). RNAcentral's name for it is "predicted gene, 39380". The record is from RNAcentral. Lineage: Eukaryota; Metazoa; Chordata; Mammalia; Rodentia; Muridae.
UCAAGGACAAACAGCUGCACAAUGGCAGAAACAGAAGCUCAGCCCAUUUUCCAUGACUCCAAAGUCCUACAGGUCAAGCUAUCCUCCCUCAGUCUUCCUUUAAAUCCAUGAUAUGGGUGGCCAUGAGAGAAUUGAGGAGGACACUGAUUGAUGGAUGGAGCAGGAACAGUAAGGACAAGACUACGAUGACAG